Non-coding RNA from Peromyscus maniculatus bairdii (prairie deer mouse), 2054 nucleotides. Lineage: Eukaryota; Metazoa; Chordata; Mammalia; Rodentia; Cricetidae. The record is from RefSeq and is a predicted model, not a curated record.
UCCAAGAUCUGACACCCUCACACAAACAUAUAUGCAGGCAAAACACCAAUGCACAUAAAAUAAAAAUAAAUAAAACUUUUUUAAAAAAAGAAAAUUUUGUGGUUUGGCUCUAAGUAUUAACUUUGUUAAUGGUCUUUGUGUACUACUUCAUAUUCCUGUAACAGUAUGCCUUAGUGGUCAUUCAAAUCAUACAUAAAUAUUUCUGUUAUCUCUUUGGUUUUCCAAAGGUAACAUUUUAUUAUAAAGGGUGUUUUCUGAGAGCUUUAAGAAAUGGUUUAACUAUAUUUCUAUUCUUUUCAUGGCAUUAAGCAUAUGGUACAGCUGUUACAUGGUGUCAUCACUUGUAGGUUUGAAUAGUUACCCUUAGAGCCCCUCUGCAUUUCUGAUUCUAAGCAACCAUCAUUCUUUUUUCCAUUUGUAUAAUAUUGUCACAGAAAGGAUGUUAUAUGUGUGAAAUACAUUAUAUAGUCCUUUGGGGCUGGUGUUUAGCUUUUGUCCUUUGGCAUGGUUCCUUUGAGACUCAUUCAAAUUAUCAUAUGUAUCAGUUAUUUGUUCCUCUUUAUUGCUGACCAGCACUAGAUCCCAUUCUCUCUUGUGGCUGUAUCAUAUAGUCUACAUCAUUAUAAAACUUUACUUACCAGGCCUCUGUUAUUGGGUACUCCUGAUGUCUUUUGCAGUUAUAAAUUGUGAAUUUCCUAUAUAUUCAAUCCCUCUGCCUUCCUGCACCUACCUAAUUUCUAGCAAUGAAGGAACAGUGUCGAUGGCAUCCUUCGCACAGAUGUCCUCAACAAUGACACUCAUGCAAGAACAGUAGUGGACUGCUAUCAAGAGAGCAUGACUAUAAUGAGGUGACAACGGCAGACUUUGUUUCCUAGAAGAUCCUUCAUGAUUGAAUUGUGAUCAAGCAACAAAUUGGGGUAUUCCAUGGAGGAUCCGAAUGGCCAGAGACUCCUGAUCCACACAUGAUUUGAGAAUUGAGUCCGUAGGCCACUGGCCUGGGGGCCUGAAUGUUUAUAUGCACCUGUACUCCAGGAGUGGACCUGAUCUCAGUUUGUGGUGCAGUGCUUUCACGUCUGACCAAAAGUCAGGAGCAUCCUGGUGCCCUGAUGCAGUGAUGGAUGGCCCUCUGCAUGCCAGCAGUACUUUGCAUUUGGGAUUCCACAGGGAACUUGGAAACUUAAUGGUUUUAUGAUGACCUUCAUGGCUCCCUGAGAAAGACAAGGAACCUCUCAGAGGGAUCAGAAAUGCCUCUCACCUUCAUCAAGAGUCAUGAGAGUCAGCAGAGUACUUUGGGGCCCUUAUGUGCUUGCCAGAAUUGUUGCAAGAUUACCACAAAUUAAAGAUUUUUAAGUGUUUUGUAUUUGCCGUGCUAUAGUUGGGCAACACCUUAUUCCAUAAAAUAGGUUCUGUGUUCUCUCAUGUUUAUUUCUUUCACAGCGUUUAACUCAGUCUGUAGAGUGAGUAACGGGAUGCUUGUGUGCAUGCAGAAAUGACAAACUCAGGUACAAUUGACAGGUGACACCUGAGGCAGAGAUGACUGAUUGUAGCACACUGGAUGUCAUGGUAGGUCUGGACAGAAGGGGACAGCACUUUCCAACCAGGGAAAGUUGUGGCUGUGGAGGGAUGUGAAUCAUGCCAGGAACCUCAGCACUUUGGAGAUGGAGUCAGGAGGACGGGAGCCCAAAGGCCCAGCCUUCGCUGUCUAGACACCCUUUAUUCUUUGAUAAUUCCUGCAUGGAUACAAAUCACCCCCCCCACCCCACCCCUGUCUCUACACCCCACCUUCAUGUCCUCUCCUCUGUUGUUGUUUUAAUCCACUCGUUCCGGUUCAUGCUGCUUGCUGCAGCGUUGGAUGAUGUUGCACACGUAACCAUAGCUACCUAGUUCAAGAGUACACUGGCAAUGACAUGUUCAAAAGACAGCAUUUCACAGCAUCCUGACACAUCCUCCAACUCGUACUUUUCCCACCCCUCUUCUACAGUGUUCUUUGGGGGUGCGGGGGAGUGUGAGUCCUCAGCCACCAUUUAUUUGAUUUUUGGGUUUUUUUUUUUUUU